This 252-nucleotide ribosomal RNA is filed under the name uncultured bacterium. RNAcentral's name for it is "partial 16S ribosomal RNA". It matches the Rfam family "Bacterial small subunit ribosomal RNA", at positions 524 to 776 of the family's 1533-position model. The record is from RNAcentral.
UACGUAGGGUGCAAGCGUUGUCCGGAAUUAUUGGGCGUAAAGAGCUCGUAGGCGGUCUGUCGCGUCGGAUGUGAAAAUCAGGGCUCAACCCUGGACCUGCAUUCGAUACGGGCAGACUAGAGUUCGGUAGGGGAGACUGGAAUUCCUGGUGUAGCGGUGAAAUGCGCAGAUAUCAGGAGGAACACCGGUAGCGAAGGCGGGUCUCUGGGCAAUAACUGACGCUGAGGAGCGAAAGCGUGGGGAGCGAACAGG